AACGAACGCUGGCGGCGUGCCUAACACAUGCAAGUCGUGCGAGAAAGGGCUUCGGCCCCGGUAAAGCGGCGCACGGGUGAGUAACACGUGGAUAACCUACCCCUUGGUGGUGGAUAACCUUCCGAAAGGAGGGCUAAUACAGCGUAAGACCACGACUUCGAAAGAGGUUGAGGUAAAAGUGGGCCUCUGUACACAAGCUCACGCCAGGGGAUGGGUCCGCGGCCCAUCAGCUAGUUGGUAGGUAACGGCCUACCAAGGCGAAGACGGGUAGCUGGUCUGAGAGGAUGGA
This 289-nucleotide ribosomal RNA is filed under the name uncultured bacterium. RNAcentral's name for it is "partial 16S ribosomal RNA". It matches the Rfam family "Bacterial small subunit ribosomal RNA", at positions 29 to 304 of the family's 1533-position model. The record is from RNAcentral.